RNAcentral lists this long non-coding RNA (466 nucleotides) under Elaeis guineensis (African oil palm). RNAcentral describes it as "long non-coding RNA (EGUI_LNC046295)". The record is from RNAcentral. Lineage: Eukaryota; Viridiplantae; Streptophyta; Magnoliopsida; Arecales; Arecaceae.
AGUGCAUGUAUAUAUAAACACAGGGUCAAGUGACCCAAACCCAAAACUUUCUUGACCAACUCUAUGGGAGAUUAGGUUAAUCCAAGCCCAUGUACACCCAUGACUCGACCUAAUCUCACCUAUCCUGGGCCCAGACCUGGCCCAUAAAGAGUUGGUCCAUUGAGGCCCACAUAACCUAGACCUCAAGAACCCGAAAGGCCCACAGCCUUUCAACCUAGGGCCCAACUAGCCCUAGAGCCUCGAUGAAGCCCUCAUGAAUGAUGGACUUUGGCCUUAGCCUUGGUCCCCUGGGCCUUGGGCACACCACCUAGAUCACAACAAUCUCCACCUUGGUGUCCCAAGGCCUCAACCAGCUCCACUCUGUCCAUCAGCCGAAUCAGCUCAACACAUCUCUGAAAGCUGUCCCGUGGAAGUACCUUCGUUAGUGCAUCAGCUGGGUUCUCCUUGGUAUGUACCUUUACCAGCU